RNAcentral lists this ribosomal RNA (280 nucleotides) under uncultured Legionella sp. Its description in RNAcentral is "partial 16S ribosomal RNA". It matches the Rfam family "Bacterial small subunit ribosomal RNA", at positions 481 to 760 of the family's 1533-position model. Lineage: Bacteria; Pseudomonadati; Pseudomonadota; Gammaproteobacteria; Legionellales; Legionellaceae. The record is from RNAcentral.
ACAGAAGAAGCACCGGCUAACUCCGUGCCAGCAGCCGCGGUAAUACGGAGGGUGCAAGCGUUAAUCGGAAUUACUGGGCGUAAAGGGUGCGUAGGUUGUUGUAUAAGUUAGCUGUGAAAUACCUGGGCUUAACCUGGGGGGGUCAGAUAAUACUGUAUGACUUGAGUAUGGCAGAGGGUAGUGGAAUUUCCGGUGUAGCGGUGAAAUGCGUAGAGAUCGGAAGGAACACCAGUGGCGAAGGCGGCCACCUGGCCUAAUACUGACACUGAGGCACGAAAGC